This 253-nucleotide ribosomal RNA is filed under the name uncultured bacterium. RNAcentral's name for it is "partial 16S ribosomal RNA". It matches the Rfam family "Bacterial small subunit ribosomal RNA", at positions 524 to 776 of the family's 1533-position model. The record is from RNAcentral.
UACAGAGGGUGCGAGCGUUGUCCGGAAGUACUGGGCGUAAAGCGCGCGUAGGCGGACCUGCAAGUCGGGGGGGAAAGCCCGAGGCUCAACCUCGGAACUGCCUUCGAUACUGCGGGUCUCGAGUCCGGGAGAGGUGAGUGGAAUUCCUAGUGUAGAGGUGAAAUUCGUAGAUAUUAGGAAGAACACCAGUGGCGAAGGCGGCUCACUGGCCCGGUACUGACGCUGAGGCGCGAAAGCGUGGGGAGCAAACAGG